This is a long non-coding RNA of Apteryx owenii (little spotted kiwi), 1280 nucleotides long. Lineage: Eukaryota; Metazoa; Chordata; Aves; Apterygiformes; Apterygidae. The record is from Ensembl.
CUAGCCAGCGGGGACUCUGCGGCUCUUUUUAUAAAAACUGAUUAGCGUGUUUUGCAUACAAAUGAAAUCCGGGUUUGGGAUACAGUUUGGGACUCUGAAGGGACAGAUUAAUUUGGAGAUAGAAUCAGGACUGUCCCUAGAAGCUGCUGGGGGGGAAUUUAACAGAUCGAGAGGACAGGCUAGGUCAGCAGUCAGCUAUUGAAAGCAAUCUGGCAACAUCAAAGUCUUUCUGUGAAUCCAGAUGGGACCAGGAACCAUUGCCUACGCUUCCAGCAGCCUAUUUAAGCCCAGCUCAUAAGGAGCGACUGUUUUGGAGAGCAGGAAACACCCUGGCCAUCCUACAGAGUCGGGUGCCCUUUGGCUGCCCCAUUAAAGUCCAGAUGAGCAAGCCGUGUACAGUUGAACCAGCUGGAAAGUGGCCAGAUGUUCCCUCUAAGGGGAAGGCUACGGAAAGACGGCCUGGAGCAGGGCGAGCGGUGGGAAGUGGGAAUGGGCCGUGGUGGGCAGAAGUUUUGCCUACGUUUGUCUGAAGAAUAAAAGUGUGCCUGGAAAGGGUGUGUGCCGGGGAGGGAACCAGCCUGGCUGGUUUGGGGGGAAAAGGGUGGUUUCCAGGCCCGGUUCCCUCCUGACUCAGUUAGGCGAGGGCCGCGGUGCGGCUGGAGCCAGGGAAGCGAGCGCUCGUGCCUGCGCCUGCGCCGGGGCUCCUCGCUGCACGGGGGCAAGCGGAGCUCCGGGGGCUUGGCGGAGCGUUGCUUGCAGCGUGCCAAGUAACGCGUGAGUGCGUGGGAACGGAAACGCUCGGCUGGCAGCGAGUUCCCAGAGCCGCGUUUUUGUAGGCGAUGGGAUCUAGAGCAGCCACGUGUCCUCCUGCGGGGCGCAGGUGCCCCUCGAAGGCGGGCGAGGAGCGGGCAGAGGUCGCUGAGCCUGCCUGGGGGCCGGCGGGAGGGAAGGCGCAACCGCGGCGGGAACCGCUGACGGAGCGGCUCAGAGCAGAAGGCGCAGCUCUGCGAGUCUCGGGUGAGGGGGGAACCGAAGGUGGUGGUGGUGGCCGAGCAAGGCUCAGAAGCACAUUUCAGCUCUUUCAGUUCUCUUUCACUUUCGCACCUAUUCUUUUUGAUUAUCUGAAAACGGUUUUCACAACGGAACUGCACCUUACAGCGGGAGAUUUCACUUUUCACUGCGCUGGUCAGGAGCACACUUGGCUGGUGUUGCUGCUUAACCUCUCAUUGGAACUGCAGAGGCAGCACGAGAGAAAUCAGAAUUCAUGUCAGCUGACGUGA